CGGGUGAGUAAUACAUCGGAACGGGUCUUCUAGUGGGGGAUAACUGCCCGAAAGGGCGAGCUAAUACCGCAUGAGACCUGAGGGUGAAAGCGGGGGAGUCGCAAGACCUCGCGCUGGAAGAGCGGCCGAUGUCCGAUUAGCUAGUUGGUGAGGUAAAGGCUCACCAAGGCGACGAUCGGUAGCUGGUCUGAGAGGACGACCAGCCACACUGGGACUGAGACACGGCCCAG
RNAcentral lists this ribosomal RNA (230 nucleotides) under uncultured bacterium. Its description in RNAcentral is "partial 16S ribosomal RNA". It matches the Rfam family "Bacterial small subunit ribosomal RNA", at positions 103 to 334 of the family's 1533-position model. The record is from RNAcentral.